Molecule: ribosomal RNA, 433 nt
Filed under: uncultured bacterium
Lineage: Bacteria
Description: partial 16S ribosomal RNA
Rfam family: Bacterial small subunit ribosomal RNA
Source: RNAcentral
AACGAACGCUGGCGGCAUGCCUAACACAUGCAAGUCGAACGAGACCUUCGGGUCUAGUGGCGCACGGGUGCGUAACGCGUGGGAACCCGCCCUUAGGUUCGGAAUAACUCCCCGAAAGGGGUGCUAAUACCGGAUAAUGUCUUCGGACCAAAGAUUUAUCGCCUUUGGAUGGGCCCGCGUUGGAUUAGCUAGUUGGUAGGGUAAAAGCCUACCAAGGCGACGAUCCAUAGCUGGUCUGAGAGGAUGAUCAGCCACACUGGGACUGAGACACGGCCCAGACUCCUACGGGGGGCAGCAGUGGGGAAUAUUGGACAAUGGGCGAAAGCCUGAUCCAGCAAUGCCGCGUGAGUGAUGAAGGCCUUAGGGUUGUAAAGCUCUUUUACCCGGGAUGAUAAUGACAGUACCGGGAGAAUAAGCUCCGGCUAACUCCGUG